CCUACGGGAGGCUGCAGUGGGGAAUAUUGGACAAUGGGCGAAAGCCUGAUCCAGCCAUGCCGCGUGUGUGAAGAAGGCCUUCGGGUUGUAAAGCACUUUCAGUGGGGAAGAAAGCCUUGGGGCUAAUACCCUCGAGGAAGGACAUCACCCACAGAAGAAGCACCGGCUAACUCCGUGCCAGCAGCCGCGGUAAUACGGAGGGUGCGAGCGUUAAUCGGAAUUACUGGGCGUAAAGCGCGCGUAGGCGGUCUGAUAAGCCGGUUGUGAAAGCCCCGGGCUCAACCUGGGAACGGCAUCCGGAACUGUCAGGCUAGAGUGCGGGAGAGGAAGGUAGAAUUCCCGGUGUAGCGGUGAAAUGCGUAGAGAUCGGGAGGAAUACCAGUGGCGAAGGCGGCCUUCUGGACUGAAACUGACGCUGAGGUGCGAAAGCGUGGGUAGCAAACAGGAUUAGAUACCCCAGUAGUC
This 465-nucleotide ribosomal RNA is filed under the name Vreelandella stevensii. RNAcentral's name for it is "partial 16S ribosomal RNA". It matches the Rfam family "Bacterial small subunit ribosomal RNA", at positions 338 to 795 of the family's 1533-position model. The record is from RNAcentral. Lineage: Bacteria; Pseudomonadati; Pseudomonadota; Gammaproteobacteria; Oceanospirillales; Halomonadaceae.